Molecule: non-coding RNA, 183 nt
Filed under: Candidatus Atelocyanobacterium thalassae
Lineage: Bacteria; Bacillati; Cyanobacteriota; Cyanophyceae; Chroococcales; Aphanothecaceae
Also listed under: 1 other name
Description: 6S RNA
Rfam family: 6S / SsrS RNA
About the family: E. coli 6S RNA was the first non coding RNA to be sequenced, but its function was unknown until recently.
Source: RNAcentral
UACGAACUGCUGUUUUGGUGACUGCCAAAAGAGUUUUUUGACUAUGCUCUAAAUUUAAGGGAUUUAAUUUAGAUAUUGUAGAAGUAAACCAAGCUUAGACUUGGAAACAGAAUCGAUAAUCAAUUAAUGCCCACCUGGUUUUCCAGGUCAUAAACUGAGGUAAAACGAUACGGCAGUUCUUAA